Molecule: transfer RNA, 74 nt
Filed under: Scincella reevesii
Lineage: Eukaryota; Metazoa; Chordata; Lepidosauria; Squamata; Scincidae
Description: tRNA-Phe
Source: RNAcentral
GUUAUUGUAGUUUAAAAUUUUAAAAAUACGGCACUGAAGUUGCCGAGAUGGAUUGUCAUUUUUUCCCAAAAACA